This 940-nucleotide ribosomal RNA is filed under the name uncultured bacterium. RNAcentral's name for it is "bacterial SSU rRNA". It matches the Rfam family "Bacterial small subunit ribosomal RNA", at positions 560 to 1504 of the family's 1533-position model. The record is from RNAcentral.
GUAAAGGGUACGCAGGCGGCUAGGAAAGAAGGAUGUGAAAUCCCAGGGCUCAACCUUGGAACUGCAUUCUUAACUGCCUAGCUAGAGUAUGUCAGAGGGGGGUAGAAUUCCACGUGUAGCAGUGAAAUGCGUAGAUAUGUGGAGGAAUACCGAUGGCGAAGGCAGCCCCCUGGGAUAAUACUGACGCUCAGGUACGAAAGCGUGGGGAGCAAACAGGAUUAGAUACCCUGGUAGUCCACGCCCUAAACGAUGUCAACUAGCUGUUGGGGUCAAUAGGCCUUAGUAGCGCAGCUAACGCGUGAAGUUGACCGCCUGGGGAGUACGGUCGCAAGAUUAAAACUCAAAGGAAUUGACGGGGACCCGCACAAGCGGUGGAUGAUGUGGAUUAAUUCGAUGCAACGCGAAAAACCUUACCUACGCUUGACAUGUCUGGAAGAUCUUAGAGAUAGGAUUGUGCCCGCAAGGGAACCGGAACACCAGGUGCUGCAUGGCUGUCGUCAGCUCGUGUCGUGAGAUGUUGGGUUAAGUCCCGCAACGAGCGCAACCCUUGUCACUAGUUGCUACGCAAGAGCACUCUAGUGAGACUGCCGGUGACAAACCGGAGGAAGGUGGGGAUGACGUCAAGUCCUCAUGGCCCUUAUGCGUAGGGCUUCACACGUCAUACAAUGGUCGGGACAGAGGGUCGCCAACCCGCGAGGGGGAGCUAAUCCCAGAAACCCGAUCGUAGUCCGGAUCGCAGUCUGCAACUCGACUGCGUGAAGUCGGAAUCGCUAGUAAUCGCGGAUCAGAAUGCCGCGGUGAAUACGUUCCCGGGUCUUGUACACACCGCCCGUCACACCAUGGAAGUGGGUUCCACCAGAAGUGGGUAGCCUAACCGCAAGGAGGGCGCUUACCACGGUGGGAUUCAUGACUGGGGUGAAGUCGUAACAAGGUAACCGUA